RNAcentral lists this ribosomal RNA (468 nucleotides) under uncultured bacterium. Its description in RNAcentral is "partial 16S ribosomal RNA". It matches the Rfam family "Bacterial small subunit ribosomal RNA", at positions 28 to 507 of the family's 1533-position model. The record is from RNAcentral.
GACGAACGCUGGCGGCGUGCUUAACACAUGCAAGUCGAACGGACAGGCCCUGCUUUUGUGGGGUGCUCGAGUGGCGAACGGGUGAGUAACACGUGAGUAACCUGCACUUGACUUUGGGAUAACUUCAGGAAACUGGGGCUAAUACAGGGUAGGAGAUCCUGCUGCAUGGGGGGGGUUGGUAAGUUUCGGCGGUAGGGGCUGGACUGGCGGGUUAUCAGCUUGUUGGUGGGGUAGUGGCUUACCAAGGGUAUGAAGGGUAGCCGGCCUGAGAGGGUGACCGGGGACAAGGGUACUGCGAGAGGGACCAGAAGGGUACGGUCGGCAGUAGUGGAGAAUAUGGCACAAUGGGGGGACGUCAGAUGUAGCGACGCCGGGUGCGUGAUGAUGGCUUUCGGGGUGUAAACAGCUUUGUCAUGUGACGAAGAGGUAGUGACGGUAAUGGGUAAAGAAGCACCGGCUAACUACGUG